CGCAAAACCAAUUACAGAUUUACCGGUCUCUGCCGGUAGUAUCGCAAAACGGUAUUUCAAUAUUCUUCCGCAAGCUUGAACACAACUUUUUGGUACGUGUGCAUAGCUAUUAUUAAUGAUUUUUUACUUUAAAAAAUAUAUCUAACGACAAAACAUUUUCAUAUUAUUAAUUUGUGUUUUCAAAAAAUAUUAACAAGAGUAUCCAUUUAAAAAAUGAAUUUGGAACAAGCGAUAUGGAAUGUUAUUUUGCACUAGAUAAUUUCCGCGGAUCUGUAAUUUUUAUAGACCGGUUGAAAACCCAAAACUAAUUUGCAUAAUGGAAAUUUACAAGCCUCAAGGUCAUCUUGAUGUAAAAAUGAAAAGUUGACGAUAUAGUUAGUAGAAUGACACUCUUCAUAGGAGUAUAUUGGCCCUUAAAUGAGAAUUUCGUUACCCUCUUUUAUGUUUUGAGCAAAAACUAUAGAGGAUGAAAAGAAACUAAACAGUCUAUAAAAAGAUCUGUAAUACAAGAUAAAUAAAAUAGAGAUUGUUGUCACAAUGUUGGAGAGUGUCGUUUGUUUGGUAUGAAUAUAUACCAAGGUGAGCUACAGUGUAUACAAGCUCUUUACAGCUUCUAAUUAAUAUUACCUUCAAAUAUGCUUAAAUGUAUUACAAUACCUAAUUAUACCUAACUUUUGUCUUUUUUUGUUUUUACAUACUUUCAUCUGACAGUCAUUGCAUGGGUUCACGUUAGAUAAAGCGUA
RNAcentral lists this long non-coding RNA (743 nucleotides) under Mytilus galloprovincialis (Mediterranean mussel). The record is from RNAcentral. Lineage: Eukaryota; Metazoa; Mollusca; Bivalvia; Mytilida; Mytilidae.